Molecule: long non-coding RNA, 2172 nt
Organism: Cyprinus carpio carpio
Lineage: Eukaryota; Metazoa; Chordata; Actinopteri; Cypriniformes; Cyprinidae
Source: Ensembl
GUUGUUCUUCACCGUACAGUAGUUGUGUAAGGGCUGUUGCUGUCUCAUGCUACUGGAUGUUGUACCUGUAGGUGAUCGGAUCAGAUAUGGACAGAGGCUGCCGUAUUGAUCGAUUCACUCGUGUGUCAUUGAGUCUGCUGUGAGACGGGAAACCCUGCAGUCAGAGAAAUGAGCCUCUGAACACCAACUGCUGCGAUUCUGCUUUCCAUUCACUGCUGUCUGUAUACAUCGCCAAGCUACGGGACAUGUUACACUCGAGAAGAGAUGAUGCCGACCCCUCCGAGGACCCCAGAUGAUGCCAACCCUGAAACAACAUGCAAAACUAUCAAAUUUUCCUGUAAGUUUGAUCACAACAUAUAAUCAUUGGUGUUAAUUGUGUUCACUCUUUGUUUGAAUACACGUCAUUAACUAACUGCAUGAUUUUUACUGUGCAUUUCUGGCAUAUGGGCAUCAGCUUGACAUAGCCACCAAUGAUAAGCUAUUACUAAAUGUAAUGUAGAAACUUUCGUUUUCUGUGAAGCUGCUUUACAACGAUUUGUAUCAUAAAAAGUGCUAUACCUGUUUUUGAAGGCUGGUCCUUCUAAUUAGUUUACUAAUUUGACUAGAUUUUACCAGCUGACAGAUGAAUAGAGUUUCUCUGGACACACAACAUUUAACAUCAUCAACAACAACAAAAUACGGGUCGUAAACUCACUGUGGGAGCAUCUGCACACGGAACGAGACGUGAUGGUCUAAUCUGAAACCCUAACACAGAAGUCUCAGGUGAUGCUUAAAACAAGAUCUCCAGUGACCUCUUGAGAUUUUCCAGUGAUUUCAUCACUAAUCUCUCGCACAAGGCUCUCCCACAAAGUGAUUUUGACCGAUCAAUUUAAUGCAGCAUUGGGAAGCACUCUACGCUUUUAAAAACAAAGGGUCUUUAUUGAUAUUGAUGGUUCCUUUCCAUUGCACAAGCGGUUCUUUAUGAUCUUCACACUGCACUCUUUCUAAACAGGUGUUUUAACAUUGAUGCCAUGAAAGAACCAUUUUCAGUUCCCCAAAGAACAGAACCAAUUUUUUCUUAGUUUGAAGAACAUUUAAAAAAUCUAAAGAACCUUUUCUCACUUCGAAGAACCUUUUUGACAUCAGUGGAAUCUUUGAAUUCCAACAAUUGCCAAACAUUUGACGGCAGCCAUUGACAUUGAGCCAUUGAAGUAUGGAAAAAAUACAAUGGAAGUCAAUGGCUACUGUCAACUGUUUGAUUUCAUUUUUGGGUGAGCUCCCAUUUUAAAACACACAAAAAAAUAAAGGAUUGCACUGAUAUUGUUCAUCAGGAUACCUCUUCUCUUGUCACUGAAAAUGUCUGGAUUUUUAAGUCUUCUUGCAGACUCUCAUUUUAAAUGGUGUUUAGUUAUCUACAGCACUUUAAAAACAUACGUAACUGGAAACUAGCAAGCUAUACUAUUUGUAAACAAAAAUGUGUCACGAAAUUCAGUGCAAGUCCAUGAAAGGUUCUUUUGGGAACCAAAAUGAUUCUCCCAAGGCACUGCUGUGAAAACCUCCUUUCAGAACCUGUUUUUAAGAGUUUGGUUAAACCCUCAAGCCUUUAUUUUAUAUUAAACUGCAGGAUGUCCUUUAAGCAGAAUAAAGUGGACCUGAAGCGUUUCGAGUUCAUCAGAUAGAACUGCUCUCAAACUCCUGAAACAAACAGAGUGUGAAAACAGCCAAACGCUCGUCACAAGUCAUUGAGUUUUUCUUGCUCUGGAAAAUGUCUUUGCCCUGGACUGAACCGAGGCGUGUCGUCCCCACGGUGCUGCGGCUCAACACUUUCCCGUAUCUGCUGCUAGCAACAUCCGGGUCAUGGCUUUGAUUCCAGGGAAUGCAUGAACCAGUCAACCUCGAACGCAAUGUAAAGAUGAAAGCAUCUGAUAAUGCAUACGCGAGAAGGCGUUCCUUUACCGUUGUCCAGGAUGCAUUAGCGUUGACAUUACAAAUGUGAUGUGCUCGCAUGUGUUUCUGACUAAUUAUUGCACCCACUAAUUUACUCCACCGUUUAUUUGCAUGCUGUCUUUGUUGUUUAGUGCUCGAUUCGCUGAAUGAAUUUCGCAGAUCAGGUACUGACACAACAGACGCCCACAAAAUUAGUGCUGAUCACUGUUUGCACACUGAACACAGUUUUCUCUUUAUUCCUGUUUA